GUCUGGGUGGCUCAGUCUGUUGAGCAUCUGACUCUUGAUUCAGUUCCGGUCAUGAUCCCAGGGCUGUGGGAUCGAGCUCCACCUCGGACU
Molecule: transfer RNA, 90 nt
Filed under: Felis catus (domestic cat)
Lineage: Eukaryota; Metazoa; Chordata; Mammalia; Carnivora; Felidae
Also listed under: 1 other name
Rfam family: tRNA
About the family: Transfer RNA (tRNA) molecules are approximately 80 nucleotides in length. Their secondary structure includes four short double-helical elements and three loops (D, anti-codon, and T loops).
Source: Rfam by way of RNAcentral